AGAGGAAGUAAAAGUCGUAACAAGGUUUCCGUAGGUGAACCUGYGGAAGGAUCAUUAUUGAAUUAAACCUGAUAAGUUGUUGCUGGUUCUCUAGGGAGCAUGUGCACGCUUGUCAUCUUUAUAUCUCCACCUGUGCACCUUUUGUAGACCUGGAUAUCUCUCUGAGUGCUAGUCACUCAGGUUUGAGGAUUGAUGUUUGUCUUUCCUUACAUUUCCAGGCCUAUGUUUAUUCAUAUACYCAAUGUAUGUCAUAGAAUGUAAUCAAUGGGCCUUUGUGCCUAUAAACCUAUACAACUUUCAGCAACGGAUCUCUUGGCUCUCGCAUCGAUGAAGAACGCAGCGAAAUGCGAUAAGUAAUGUGAAUUGCAGAAUUCAGUGAAUCAUCGAAUCUUUGAACGCACCUUGCGCUCCUUGGUAUUCCGAGGAGCAUGCCUGUUUGAGUGUCAUUAAUAUAUCAACCUCUUCAGAUUUUGUUUGUUGAGUGUUGGAUGUGGGGGUAUUUUUUUGCUGGUCUUCUGAAGAUCAGCUCCCCUGAAAUGUAUUAGCGGAACAAUUUGUGGACCGUUCAUUGGUGUGAUAACUAUCUACGCUAUUGGAUGUCAAGCAGUUCAGCUUCUUAAUAGUCCAUUGACUUGGACAACUUUUCAUUAAUGUGACCUCAAAUCAGGUAGGACUACCCGCUGAACUUAAGCAUAUCAAUAAGCGGAGGAAAAGAAACUAACAAGGAUUCCCCUAGUAACUGCGAGUGAAGCGGGAAAAGCUCAAAUUUAAAAUCUGGCAGUCUUUGGCUGUCCGAGUUGUAAUCUAGAGAAGCGUUAUCCGCGCUGGACCGUGUACAAGUCUCCUGGAAUGGAGCGUCAUAGAGGGUGAGAAUCCCGUCUUUGA
RNAcentral lists this ribosomal RNA (885 nucleotides) under Cortinarius mairei. RNAcentral's name for it is "eukaryotic LSU rRNA". Lineage: Eukaryota; Fungi; Basidiomycota; Agaricomycetes; Agaricales; Cortinariaceae. The record is from RNAcentral.